GUGAGACUCGAUGUUUACCGACACCGAAACAAUGGUGUUUACCGACACCAACAAUGAUGACCAGACAUUUACUGAUGACUGGAGAGAAAACUCGAUGUUUACAGACACCGAAACAAUGGUGUUUACCGACACCAAACAAUGAUGACCAGACAUUUACUGAUGACUGGAGAGAAAACUCGAUGUUUACAGACACCGAAACAAUG
RNAcentral lists this long non-coding RNA (203 nucleotides) under Lathyrus oleraceus (garden pea). Its description in RNAcentral is "Pisum sativum (pea) long non-coding RNA (PSAT_LNC001624)". Lineage: Eukaryota; Viridiplantae; Streptophyta; Magnoliopsida; Fabales; Fabaceae. The record is from RNAcentral.